This is a long non-coding RNA of Sinocyclocheilus anshuiensis, 315 nucleotides long. RefSeq lists it as uncharacterized. The record is from RefSeq and is a predicted model, not a curated record. Lineage: Eukaryota; Metazoa; Chordata; Actinopteri; Cypriniformes; Cyprinidae. The transcript has 3 exons.
CGGUGCUGUAAAACAGGUUAAUUUACUUAAUCUUUUUAGACAAGCUGCCCGAGUCCUGUCGCUAUAUUUCAUUCAUAAUGGCUUUAAUGUUACCCAUAUUCUUUCUGGUGAUGUCUAACCGAAAGCAUUUUGGUCUGAUAGGAACAGACACAGAUACAGCAGGGCCAUCAAGGCAGCAUAACAGGAAAUAUGUGAACAGCAGCAGAUAUAGGCUACAGCAGGGUCACCAAAUCAGACAAAGGAGCAUAACAGAACACAUUUUGGUCUGAUGUAAACAGCUGAAGAUAUACAGAAGUGUCAUUGAAUUAGUCAAAG